UACGUAGGGGGCAAGCGUUAUCCGGAUUUACUGGGUGUAAAGGGGGCGCAGACGGCGAUGCAAGCCAGGAGUGAAAGCCCGGGGCCCAACCCCGGGACUGCUCUUGGAACUGCGUGGCUGGAGUGCAGGAGGGGCAGGCGGAACUCCUGGUGUAGCGGUGAAAUGCGUAGAUAUCAGGAGGAACACCGGUGGCGAAGGCGGCCUGCUGGACUGCAACUGACGUUGAGGCCCGAAAGCGUGGGGAGCAAACAGG
RNAcentral lists this ribosomal RNA (253 nucleotides) under uncultured bacterium. RNAcentral's name for it is "partial 16S ribosomal RNA". It matches the Rfam family "Bacterial small subunit ribosomal RNA", at positions 524 to 776 of the family's 1533-position model. The record is from RNAcentral.